Molecule: non-coding RNA, 148 nt
Filed under: Gorilla gorilla gorilla (western lowland gorilla)
Lineage: Eukaryota; Metazoa; Chordata; Mammalia; Primates; Hominidae
Source: Rfam by way of RNAcentral
GCCAGGCAUGGUGGCGGGCGCCUGUAGUCCCAGCUACUUGGGAGGCUGAGGCAGGAGAAUCGCUUGAACCCAGGAGGCAGAGGUUGCAGUGAGCCGAGAUUGCGCCACUGCACUCCAGCCUGGGUGACAGAGUGAGACCCUGUCUCAA